AACUUGAGGGCUUUCAAUUGGGAUUGCUGCCAUCUAGCGCACAGUGUAGGAGUUUUCGGAUUUGUCUCGACUGGUAGUUGAAGUUGAGAGUUGCAGAGGUCGACGUCAGAAUUACUUAGAAAUUAACUAGUUUAACCGAUAACUAAAAGCAAAAAACUCAAAGUUUCCCGUGCAAUGAAUAAGCGGUGUUUUCCUGUUCCCAGAUAUGUAAAAUUCAGACAAUGCUGCGUUUUCAUAGAACUUGUGGUUUUCUGCGGGUUCUGACCGAAAAGAUGCACUUUUUGGCAUCUCCAGAGAACGACAUCAGAUUUCUUUUUCAACGUACGUAAGUUUAAGAAAUUAAUUUCUUUACUAAUUUAUCUCUGUGUGGUAGCUCUUGAUUACCGACCUUUUGAUGAAGAAUUCCUUCUUUCGAUGCACAAAAACCCUACAAAGAGCUUUUCAACACACGGAUCUCCUUGAAUGCAGAGCCUUUAACAUUUUUAAUGGGUAAAAUUUUUUCUCCAAAAUGAACAUUACUCAUAAUUAAAGCGCUUGAAAAUAA
Molecule: long non-coding RNA, 544 nt
Organism: Dendroctonus ponderosae (mountain pine beetle)
Lineage: Eukaryota; Metazoa; Arthropoda; Insecta; Coleoptera; Curculionidae
Exons: 2
Source: RefSeq, a predicted model, not a curated record